UACCUCGUCUUCCCAAAAUGCUUUGGGGUA
This 30-nucleotide non-coding RNA is filed under the name Mus musculus (house mouse). Lineage: Eukaryota; Metazoa; Chordata; Mammalia; Rodentia; Muridae. The record is from RNAcentral.